This 30-nucleotide non-coding RNA is filed under the name Homo sapiens (human). Lineage: Eukaryota; Metazoa; Chordata; Mammalia; Primates; Hominidae. The record is from RNAcentral.
UCGAAGUCUAUCCGUCUUCCUUUUCUGGAC